CUGCGAGGGUCUGGAGAGUGGCGGAGGCCGGGGCCGCUGCGGGGCCUUCCCUUCCGCCGCAGAGCCCCGCUCCCAAAGUCCUGUGCGCGGCCUCACACACCGGACGGCGAGCAGAGCGGGGGAAAGCCAGUCGGCCAGCAACUGGGAGGGAAACUAAGCCGGGCGCCGGCGGGCUCCAGCCUCUGCUUCUGCCGCGAGUGAGCCGGAGCAGGAGAAGGUGACCAGAACAGAAGCCACGGUGUCUGUCAUAACUUCAUCGUGGAAGUGACAUACCAUCACCUCUUCCGUACUGCACUGGUCAGUCAGCUCCAUACAAGGAGAAGGGGACUACACAAGCGUGCGACCGUCAGGAGGCUGGAUCGUCGGGGACCCUCCUGGAGGCUGAUGGCAUAUUCUGAGGGGCUGCUCUGCAGAAAAGGCCAAGUGAAAAGUCAUCCAAUGACGAGGAAGGAGGAAGACGGCACGUCGCGGGCACGAGGAGGCUGUGCUGCUCUGACGCUGAGCAGGCUGGGAUGGCACAAUCACCGGGAAAAGUAGCAAACGCCAGUCAGAGAAUGUCAUGGCAGUGCUCCGUCAACGCUAAUGGCUUUUAAUAACACUGGAACCAACAUGUGGCAUUCCACGAGGCGAUGGAGUUGAAGUUUGUCUUCGGUUGAUACAGAAUUCUCUCCCAUAUGGCAGCUAAUGGGCAGUGAGAGGAUGUUGGAGAUCAGCUGUGCUGAACUGCUUGCUGUUCCUUGAAGCAGUCAAGCUUCUGACACCUCUGUGCCCUAUAGAUGGCCCUUAUUGAUUAGUAGCUGCCUCUUCCCAUCCAGACACCCUCCCCCCAUCCCUGGCUCAGCUUGUUUACCCCUCUUACUCAUUCUUCUAAAGCCAAUUCAGAUAUCUUGUGUCCUCAGGACAUCACCCUAGUCUGCUCUAAGUGCCCAUCUUCCAAAGUUGAUUGCGAGCCGUGAUACAUUUAUCCGUGUCUAGCACGUUGCCUGUCUGUCUCUCUUGUAGACUGUCUGUUCUUGAGGAAGAGACUGAUUCUUAUUCCCAGGAGCCAGCACAGCUUUGACAAAUAGAGAGUUCUUAUUAAUGUUGAGUAUUUCAGUAUACAAAUAACUGAAAGUAAUAAACAAGUG
Non-coding RNA from Vicugna pacos (alpaca), 1127 nucleotides. Lineage: Eukaryota; Metazoa; Chordata; Mammalia; Artiodactyla; Camelidae. The record is from RefSeq and is a predicted model, not a curated record.